RNAcentral lists this long non-coding RNA (1015 nucleotides) under Vitis vinifera (wine grape). RNAcentral describes it as "long non-coding RNA (VVIN_LNC004905)". Lineage: Eukaryota; Viridiplantae; Streptophyta; Magnoliopsida; Vitales; Vitaceae. The record is from RNAcentral.
GCGGCCAUAGCCCUCUUCACCAUAACCGUACUUGCGAGGCUCAUCAUCAUCAUCGCGCCUCUCAUAAGCCGGCUUCUCGUAGCCCUCCUCUUCUUGCCCCUCAUUACUUGGCCUCCCAUAACUAGGCCUCCUCGGUGGCUCCUCCACCUCCGGACUCUCGUAGCUCGGCCUCCCAUACUGUGGCUUCCUGGGGGACCCUUCCCCACCAUAACCAUACCCGCCACCUUGUUCCUCUCCGAAGCUAGGUUUCCGACCGUACCCAGAUCCAUAUUCAGAACUCGGUGCUUCGUACUCAGGCCUCCGACCAUACCCAGAUCCAUACUCCGAACUGGGCUGCUCGAACUCGGGCCUCCGACCAUACCCAGAUCCAUACUCCGAACUAGGUUGCUCGUAUUCAGGCUUCCGACCGUACCCAGAUCCAUAUUCCGUGCUAGGCUGUUCGUAUUCAGGCUUCCGACCGUACCCAGAUCCAUAUUCCGAGCUAGGCUGUUCGUAUUCAGGCUUCCGACCGUACCCAGAUCCAUAUUCCGAGCUAGGCUGUUCGUAUUCAGGCUUCCGACCGUAGCCAGAUCCAUAUUCCGAGCUAGGCUGUUCGCAUUCAGGCUUCCGACCGUACCCGGAUCCGUACUCCGAACUGGGUUCCUCGUAAUCAGGCUUCCGCCCAUGCCCAGAUCCAUACUCACCCUCCCCACCAAAACUCGACGGCGGCUUCGGCUGAUACCCAUACUCACCACCAUCACCACUGCCUCCGAACCCUCCUUGGCCAGGAGGUGGUCCGGCGUAACCAAGGACCGGACGAGGCUUGGGACGAGCAUAGCUCUUGUAUUCAUUCUCAAGAGCUUCAUCACCGUAAGCCGAUGGUUCAGAGCAUGAUGUGUAGCUUGGGCGAUCGUAGUCUAUAUCACCGGACUUCGAGGAGAUCGGAUAGCAAGUCUCCUCCGACGGCUCCAAAGGGCGGCCAUAGAUGACCGUGAUGUCGUAGCCUCCACCAUACGGGGUCGGAUCGUACUCAUCG